CAAUCGUUUGGUCUCCAGCACAUCUCAAUCAAGUUUUACAUUUGGCCAUAGGUCAAAACUAGAUGUGCUUGGGAAUCUUAUUAUUUCCUUUCAAUGCACAUUUAGAACAAUGAUUAAGGGUUGCAUAACUGAUUGUUGUAGUUGUGGUGUUUGUGCGUGCAUUUAAAAAUCAGAAUGGAAAUGGGAAAAGUGUCAAAGAGACAACAACACGACCAAAGAGCAGAAAACAGCCACCGAAGUCAACCAAUAGGUAUUCAACACGAGAAAACUCCGCACUUGGAGGCGGUCUUCAGCUGCCUUCUAAACAAAAAUAUGUAUUAGUUUAGUGAAAAAUGGACGUCAUACUUAACCUCAAAAUAUAAAAAUAAACUUUGAUUAAAAAUCAUUCAAGACUUUAAACAAAGGUCAUAGGCUCCUGACUUCGGACAGGUGUCAAAAUGUGCAAGGUUAAACAUGUUUUGUGAUAUGUCAACCCUCUCCCUAUAUCUCUAGCGAAUAUAGAAAAACCGAACACACAUCAAUACGCACAGUAAAACUCGGUCUCAAAGAAGUCCGAGUCCGAUUUCAGAAUAGUUGACAAAAUGACAAUGAUACAUAAAUUUUGUACAGACAGAAAGCAUGUACAAUGUAUAGCUUUCAUAAAGCUAUUGAUAUAGAAAUGAGGAGAUGUUGUACGAUUGCCAAUGAAACAACAUCCACCAACAACCAAAGACCAAGAGAGGAUAAAACAGAACGUCACCGUAAUACUCUUACAGAUUAACAAAUGUAUGUUUUCAAUAAGCUAUAAAAUAAAAUUGAGAAUGGAAAUGGGGAAUGUGUCAAAGAGACAACAACCUGACCAUAGAGCAGACAACAGCGUGUAAAAGAAUGAAAUAAAGUGAAACAAUAAUAAAAAAAACCACCAGCGGUCUUAUCAUUAUAAAAAACAAUAAUAAAAUAAAACUAUGACGACACAUACAAUAACCGACGAGACCACUCGGCUACAAACUGUUCAAUCAAAGAAAACACAUGACUGCUAGUUUUCAUUCUGCAACACCAAAAUCUUACAUAUGACUUUUUAGAAUGCUAGAUUGUAGUUUUAUUGAAGGCAAAAAAUAAUUCUAGUAAUAAUAGUACAGUCACGAGGCUCCUUUUACGUAGAUAACAAACAUGACAACAUCAUUAACCUUUUACGGACCAACUCAGAUGAUCAAAAUGUAAGUAACUUACUCACUAAUGCACACUCUUUCGUUCACUUGCAUGCUUUUGAAAACUGAACAAGUUAACUCGCCUCAAUAAGUAUAAUUAACUGUUUGUUUUAAAUAUAUCUGGAAAAAGGUAGACACAGAGCCAGAGCUAGAAAAAGAGCUAGCGUUUCACACCUUUUCCAAUUUCCCUUUCGCUUCUUUUGAAGUUAACUUGAUUUGAUUCCUGAUCGAUUUAGAAGAUUAAAAAAAAAAAACAUCAGUAAAAAAUUGAAAACACCACGUUCAAUAACUUCAUGCGUCCGAAGCGUUUUUCUGGAUUUACCUUCAUCAGGAACGCUCAAAGCCAAAUUUGAAAGCUGAGGAUGUAUAAGUACUGAAACAGUUGUAGAGCUAUAUGAUAAAAAAAAUCCCCCCCAAAACAAGCCAAAUCCAUCUAAGGCCAACUUUGCCUGAGGGAGUUGAAACCUUUGUUUCUUUAUAAUUUCAAAAUUUAUCAACGGACAAUUUUAGAAGGGUUUGUUAUAAAUCAUGUCAGUACUGCAGUAUUGACUACUGAGCAGAUGAUAUCCUCGGGGACUGAUAGUCCACCAGCAGAAACUACAGUUGCUUGUAUUUUUGUCUGAACACACAGAGUGUUUACUUAACCGCAU
RNAcentral lists this long non-coding RNA (1837 nucleotides) under Mytilus galloprovincialis (Mediterranean mussel). Lineage: Eukaryota; Metazoa; Mollusca; Bivalvia; Mytilida; Mytilidae. The record is from RNAcentral.